Molecule: long non-coding RNA, 399 nt
Filed under: Rattus norvegicus (Norway rat)
Lineage: Eukaryota; Metazoa; Chordata; Mammalia; Rodentia; Muridae
Description: long non-coding RNA NONRATT003486
Source: RNAcentral
GGAGCUGGCUCAGUCCUACAACCGGGAUGCCGCAGGGACCGGCCGGGGUGGGGCUACCGUUUGUCUAGCGUCCGGCAGAAGUCCGUUCUCAUCCAGCCAGGGGCGGCUUCAGCAAGCAGUUGGGGCAGCUAGAGGUAAACCCUGCUUCGCGCCGAGCGCCGGCUGGGCUGGAGGACAGCUGCGCCCCAGGAGGCACGCGGGGGCUCAGGAGGCGGGUCGAGGGCUGUGGUGGCGGCGUCAUCGAGCCCGGAUCAUCCCCAGUACCUUCCCGGAGGGCGACGUAGGGUGGGGCCCGCGGCUCUGCAACUCGAUCUGCGGCCCUAGUUAAAAAUACCCCUUGCCCUACCCUCUCUCUGGCCGGCGGUGCCCUUCUAUCCCAGUCUAACCCUCCUCACCCGG